AUACAGACACUAAAUAGCCUGAGCACCUUUGAAAAAAUGGUAGUCGCAUAAUGGCGGAUUCAAAUAGUUCUCAGUUUUUUUUGCUGUAAGAAGGAUUUUUCCUUGAAAUCAUUGCUAUAUAUUGGUUGAAAUCAUAUUGCAUGCCUAUACUUGAUAUACUGGUAGCAUUUGCAUGUUGAAAAAAGACUCCAAACUGAUUUAACAUGUGAAAUUUAUUCAUACACCCCUACCCUAAAUUGUGAUUGUCAUUUCAGUGUAAAAAUUACGGUGUGUCCGUUUGACCAGAAAUAUUUUUCUUGCAUCAAACAUGACCCCUACUUUUCUUUGGAUAUUUUUACAGUAUAAAUGUUAUUCUACAAGAAAAUAGUUAAACAUUUCCUGUAGCAGCUUAGGACAGUACAGUUUGUGAGUUAACAGAUCAGGGUGAGCCUCAGUGUUUCCUGGUGUACUGUACUCAUCCGCCAACUUAGGACAGCUGUUUAGUGAUCGCAGAGGUGCAACACCCGUUUCAGAGCCAUUUACAUCAUUUAGUGAGGAUUCCUGUGUCUGACAGUACUGAACCUGAGGAAUUUCACACAUUUUUGAGCAGAGACCAGGUGUGCAGUAUCAACACCUUUUUAGUUACAUUUUGACAUGAAUUGUUGGAGAGAACUUGAAUACCAUGGCCAUGAGAUAUGACUUUAGCUAUAGAAUGCAAAAAUAUGCAGUAUUGUUGCAUUUGUGAUGAAAAGAAAGACAAUUUUCCCAUUUUUUACUGAAAAAUAAGCUUUUUUUUAACCAAAAAAAAAUUCACUAAACACUAAUUUUGUUCUAUAUUUUAUCACAGUUGCAUAAUUAUAAGUUUUUUUUUCAGUGUAGUUGUCUAUUCCGCACUUGCUGGUGGUAUAUUUGAUGUAAUAUUUUACGGGUUUUUUGAAAAAACAGCGUUUAAUGACUAUAUGUGAUUCAGCCAAAUUUAACGGCUUAAACCGCAGUCUUUGGACAAAAUGAUGGCUGUACAAAAAUAGUGAUUUUGAGAAAACUACUGGUUUGUUUGGGCUGAAACUUGUUUUAUAAGCUGAAUAUAGAUGAAACUUCACAUAGAGAGCAAAAAAGCUGAAAAAAAAAAAUUCAUAUUUCCUUAUAGGCAUACAGACACUAAAUAGCCUGAGCACCUUUGAAAAAAUGGUAGUCGCAUAAUGGCGGAUUCAAAUAGUUCUCAGUUUUUUUUGCUGUAAGAAGGAUUUUUCCUUGAAAUCAUUGCUAUAUAUUGGUUGAAAUCAUAUUGCAUGCCUAUACUUGAUAUACUGGUAGCAUUUGCAUGUUGAAAAAAGACUCCAAACUGA
Molecule: long non-coding RNA, 1325 nt
Organism: Mercenaria mercenaria
Lineage: Eukaryota; Metazoa; Mollusca; Bivalvia; Venerida; Veneridae
Exons: 3
Source: RefSeq, a predicted model, not a curated record